Molecule: long non-coding RNA, 1250 nt
Filed under: Homo sapiens (human)
Lineage: Eukaryota; Metazoa; Chordata; Mammalia; Primates; Hominidae
Description: HSALNT0348658
Source: RNAcentral
CUCCCCACUUUCCAUUUCAUGAUAACCUCUAACACUGUGAGAAGAUCUUACUUUCUCCAGCUCUACCUUGAAAACUACUAAGCCGAGGAUGGGGCGAAUUAAAAGCAACAAACAAUGCCCCAAAGCACAGGAGUGAACUCUGUGUUCUCUGUUUGAAAAUGCACUCAUUUUUAUUGAGGACGUCUACUGGAGGCAGACACAGGAGGCAGUGCAGCGACAAAGAUGAAAAAACACAAUUUCUGACCUCAGGGAACACCGGCUACAGCUACAGGAAAAGAAUUUUACACAGGGAGACAGCAAACGUGAAAACAAUAUAGAAGCUGGGUAAUAAAAGAGGGCCCAGUGUUAUGGGGGCACUGAGAAAGGGAACCUAAGGUGCACCUAUGGGGUAGGGAGACAGUGGAUCAGGGCAAGUAGUUUCCUAGAGGAGGCAAGUCCUCUCCUGAUAGAUGAGAAGGAAUUCAAAGACAAAAAGGAGAAAGGGCCUGCAGGCACAUAAAAGGAGGCAGCAGAUGGCGCACCGUGGGGUGGCUGUGCAGCGCCAGGUGAGACCGCCUGGUCAAGGCCAAGGAAGCUCAAGGUCAAGGAGGCUGUGGGUGCCAGAGGUUCAAGACGUCUCAUCUCACCCCAUCACAGAUUAUGGAUGUAUGUCCCUUUCUUCUAGGCAGGCUGGGAUCAGACAGGUUCCCUGUGACUACCAAGAGAACGGUUGUCACUUCUGCCUAUGUAUCUUUCCAGCAGGGCUGGGACCACAUGGGAAGAAAUCUGCUGUCUAUUCCUGUCUACAAUGAUUCAGCAAUGAGGAAACAUUGACAGAGUAUCUGCUAUGUGCUAGUCACUGUAGACUUCCCCAUCUAAUCUCACAACAAACCUGUCAGGUCUAAAAGAGUCAUGGAGAUGCUGUGGUGAGGGGAGAGGCCAGGCUUAGAGACCUUCAAGAUCUUCAACACCCCCCCAACCCCAACUCUGCACUCCAAAUGGCCACUCUCCAAACACACCCCUGGAAAACAACCAAUGCUCCUCAGAGGUAAGACAUUUAAAAUCAAAUGGUAGUUUUUCCCAAAAUACAUUUAAAAAUUAUUUUCAUAGGUAAAAUUUUCUCCUCUUAUUUUAAAUUUUGCCUGUUUUUCUUUCUCAGUGUUUGACUCCUGAUACCACUUAUCUGGUGAUAAGAACUUUUGGGCCAGGCACAGUGGCUCAUCCCUGUAAUCCCAGCACUUUGGGAGGCCAAACCAGGUGGAUCACUUGAG